GAGAUGAAGGUUAUGGAGAUAGAAGAAUCAAGAGAGCGUCGUGGUCCAGAGUUUGUUACAGAUGGUUAGAGGAUGCAGGGUGGCGUAUUGAAUGGUUGCUGAGCCAGUUAUUCAUGGUGCGGUUUUGUUGAUAGAGCAUGAAGGACCAAUACUCUCUUUUGUAUAUUUUUUGUAAUCUUCUGUAAUCCAAUUUAUUUCAUAAUGGAGUUUGAAAUGUAUGAAUACUUGGACUUUUGAAGAUUUUGUAAUGAAUAUGAUUUUGGACCUUUGUGA
This is a long non-coding RNA of Vicia villosa (hairy vetch), 273 nucleotides long. RefSeq lists it as uncharacterized. NCBI's taxonomy places the organism in Eukaryota, Viridiplantae, Streptophyta, Magnoliopsida, Fabales, Fabaceae. The transcript is spliced from 2 exons. The record is from RefSeq and is a predicted model, not a curated record.